GCUGGUUCUGGCACUCACGCAGCCCUUCCCGGUCAAUGGAGGUCUCUGUGGUGAAGAUGUCCCCCGUCUUGCCAUCCACUCGAAGAAUUACUGACUGCUGAGCCCAGACUGAUUCAAGAUACUGACUACUAAAAGGAGAGGAAAGAACUGAGAGUAUGGAGAAGAGGUGCAGGGAAGAAACAACAAUCUGAAUCUUGAGCAGAGCUGAGAAGUAGCAGCAGCUAGGACUCUGGCAAGCCUGACAUUUAUAACAAUGUCGUGAUUCAAACAGAAGCGACUACAGGGGGUCUGCUCCAGCCCAGGUUAGAGUGAUGAGGAAAGAAAGAUCCCAAGACAAGCAUAAAAAAGAGGGCCAGGAGAGUCAGUAAGAGAAUUGGUCACUCUGCU
Molecule: long non-coding RNA, 387 nt
Organism: Sarcophilus harrisii (Tasmanian devil)
Lineage: Eukaryota; Metazoa; Chordata; Mammalia; Dasyuromorphia; Dasyuridae
Exons: 3
Source: RefSeq, a predicted model, not a curated record